Molecule: ribosomal RNA, 253 nt
Filed under: uncultured prokaryote
Description: partial 16S ribosomal RNA
Rfam family: Bacterial small subunit ribosomal RNA
Source: RNAcentral
ACGGAGGGGGCUAGCGUUGUUCGGAAUUACUGGGCGUAAAGCGCGCGUAGGCGGAUCUGCAAGUCGGGGGUGAAAUCCCGAGGCUCAACCUCGGAACUGCCUUCGAUACUGCGGGUCUCGAGUCCGGGAGAGGUGAGUGGAAUUCCUAGUGUAGAGGUGAAAUUCGUAGAUAUUAGGAAGAACACCAGUGGCGAAGGCGGCUCACUGGCCCGGUACUGACGCUGAGGCGCGAAAGCGUGGGGAGCAAACAGGA